GUUCUCUUCGGCAGCACAUCCACUAAAAUGGGAAUGCCACAGAGAAGAUUAGUAUGGCCCCUGCACAAGGUUGACAUGCGGAGCUGUGAAGUGUUCAAAUUUUUC
This is a small nuclear RNA of Psammomys obesus (fat sand rat), 105 nucleotides long. The record is from RefSeq and is a predicted model, not a curated record. Lineage: Eukaryota; Metazoa; Chordata; Mammalia; Rodentia; Muridae.